RNAcentral lists this ribosomal RNA (406 nucleotides) under uncultured bacterium. Its description in RNAcentral is "partial 16S ribosomal RNA". It matches the Rfam family "Bacterial small subunit ribosomal RNA", at positions 30 to 526 of the family's 1533-position model. The record is from RNAcentral.
AUUGCACGCUGGCGGCAGGCCUAACACAUGCAAGUCGAACGAGUGGCGGACGGGUGAGUAAUGUCUGGGAACCUGCGUGAUGGAGGGGGAUAACUACUGGAAACGGUAGCUAAUACCGCAUACCAUCGGAUGUGCCCAUAUGGGAUUAGCUAGUAGGCGGGGUAAAGGCUCACCUAGGCGACGCUCCGUAGCUGGUCUGAGAGGAUGACCAGCCACACUGGAACUUAGACACGGUCCAGACUCCGACGGUAGGCAGCAGUGGGGAAUAUUGCACAAUGGGCGCAAGCCUGAUGCAGCCAUGCCGCGUGUAUGAAGAAGGCCUUCGGGUUGUAAAGUACUUUCAGCGGGGAGGCGUUACCCACAGAAGAAGCACCGGCUAACUCCGUGCCAGCAGCCGCGGUAAUAC